AACGAACGCUGGCGGCAGGCUUAACACAUGCAAGUCGAACGGUUGCAGCAAUGCAGCAGUGGCAGACGGGUGAGUAACACGUGGGAACCUUCCUAGGGGUACGGAACAACUCAGGGAAACUUGAGCUAAUACCGUAUACGUCCGUGAGGAGAAAGAUUUAUCGCCCUUAGACGGGCCCGCGUCGGAUUAGCUAGUUGGUGGGGUAACGGCCUACCAAGGCGACGAUCCGUAGCUGAUCUUAGAGGAUGAUCAGCCACACUGGGACUGAGACACGGCCCAGACUCCUACGGGAGGCAGCAGUGGGGAAUCUUGGACAAUGGGCGCAAGCCUGAUCCAGCCAUGCCGCGUGAGUGAAGAAGGGUCUUCGGAUUGUAAAAGCUCUUUUGCCAGGGACGAUAAUGACGGUACCUGGAGAAUAAGCCCCGGCAAAACUUCGUGCCAGCAGCCGCGGU
This 452-nucleotide ribosomal RNA is filed under the name uncultured bacterium. RNAcentral describes it as "bacterial SSU rRNA". It matches the Rfam family "Bacterial small subunit ribosomal RNA", at positions 29 to 521 of the family's 1533-position model. The record is from RNAcentral.